UCAGGCUUUCUUCUGUGAACUUUCAUGAUCUGCAGAAGUUAGUAAAAAAAUUAUUUUACCCAGAUUCUCCUGUAGCUAAAAUUUUGGAUGUCAUAGAGUCUGGGCCAAUCGAACAUACUUGUGUAAGAUUUAGAAGGUAGAAGUGGAGUGGACACUAUGUUCUGCUGUGCUUGUUUUUUUCUAAAAAGCACAAUCACAGGGGAGUUGGGGAUUUUUAAUUUUUAUUUUUUUCCUGUGGCAGCUUUAACAUAGCUACCAGCAGUUAGUAGCUCGGUUUGAGUACUAAGAGGCAGAGCAUUGGGCCCUCCCACCUGCUGGUAUGUAUGCAGGCCUGGUGCAACUUUCUGAUGGGACGGCCUCCUGGUUGUAGCUGCUUCCUCAUCACAGCGGAGGCAGAAACUCCUUUGGUGGCUCAUUUCUGCAUUGUGGCUUUUUGUUCCUGAAAGCUUGACUUGGAGGCUAUUUCUUUGACUUUCCCAAUGAUUCGAUUGUCUUCACAGGUGUGAUUUGAGUUAGUGCUCUUGAGAAGGAGAGCUUAUCUUGGAUUACUCAUUGGGCCCCAAAUAAUUAUAGUGUAAUCUUUUAAGAAGGCAAUAGGGCAAGAUGUGACAUACACAAAGGAACAAGAGAAAACAAGGUAACUAUGAAGACAGAGAUCGGAGGGAUGUAGCCACAAGCCAAGUAAUGCUGGCAGCCACCAGAUGCUGAAAGAAGCAAGGAACAGAAUCUGCUCUUGAGCCUAAGGAGGGAGCAUGGCCCCGGUGACACAUCGAUUUUGGCCCAGUGAUAUUGAUUUCAGAUUUCUUGCCUCCAGAAAAGUGAGGGAAUAAAUUUUGUUGUUUUAA
Molecule: long non-coding RNA, 845 nt
Organism: Canis lupus familiaris (dog)
Lineage: Eukaryota; Metazoa; Chordata; Mammalia; Carnivora; Canidae
Exons: 2
Source: RefSeq, a predicted model, not a curated record